RNAcentral lists this long non-coding RNA (1814 nucleotides) under Cyanistes caeruleus (blue tit). RNAcentral describes it as "lncRNA (ENSCCEG00000000176.1)". The record is from RNAcentral. Lineage: Eukaryota; Metazoa; Chordata; Aves; Passeriformes; Paridae.
CAUCCCUGUAUCAGAUUUCUCCCACUGAAGUUCCUUGUAUUGUGCAACACAUUUCCAAGUCAAAUUUAAAAUCUUUCAUUUCUCCAACCUCAAGCACAGUAGUGCAGACCCUCUUAAUAUCCUCACAGGAAUCUAAAUAUUACUUCUAGUAUAGUCUUUUGGCUCUCCUACAGCAACAUCCUCUCCAAAAACAUUUUCUCCAACACACUGAAUCAAACCCUCAUCUGGAGCUAGACCUCAAGGUCUACACCUGUAUAUCCUUCAUCACAUAUCUCCAAGAUGCUCAUCAAUCACACAGCAUAUAUCAGUGUUUAUGCCUCAACAUCUUUUCUCACACAUAUUCCUAAGGGCUUGGAAGCUUGCCAGGAUGACCAUUUCCACCUAAUUUUAUUCAAGCAAAUCCUCUAAUGACAUUUCAUUUUCAGGUUAUGAAAUGUGUUCAACUACAAGCACUCCACCAUUGGGCAGCCCGCCACAGCAGGAACUGUCCUCACUGGAGUUACCAAAGAGGAGCAGCUUUAGUUCUCAAAGGAAGGUUCUUAAUUUCAACCUGAAGUGCCCUAGUAGAAAAAGUGAGUUCAAUUAUAGCACCACCAUGCUUUCUCUUACAUACCAUCUCAACGAGACUGAAGCUACAUGCAUUUUACUUCCAUGCAUACAUGAGGUUUGUAAACCAACUUGGACUUUUCUAAAUAAAAGACUCCAUUUAAAUGAAACUGCUACUAAACUCUCUAUUAAGGCCUCAGUAAGCAGUGCCUAUCUGUUUGGUGUUUUAAUUCCCCGCUUCUUUCAUCUAAACCUGGUGAGGGUUUAGAUCCAAAGAUAAAGGGAUCUCAGAAGCAACAAGCAGAAAGCAGGGCUGAGCUGGAAUGACACAACUGUUUAUUAGGGUCUGCACUGGGGCAUGCUGCUGUCUCAGCAGCUCUGGUAGUUACAGUAUGGUCUUGCAAGGCCUCCUACUUGACCCUCAAAGCAGCAUGGUGGGAACACAUCUGAGAGCAAGGGCUGCAACUCUGGCUGGGGCAUUUGCAUUAUCUACCCCACCAGUGGCAGAUACUUCUACCCAGAUGGAACUGCUGAAGGGAGAGGCUGCUGAGCGGACCUCAGACUGCAGACUGUGCCGAGCCCUUUCCCUGGGCUGGGCAGCCAGCAGGCCUGCCUGCAAAAGGUGUUGCCCAGGUGGGGGACCUCCUGCAGCAGCUGGCUGAGCUGUAGGAGGCAGUGAGAAGCCUGUGUGACAUCAGGGCUGCUGAGGAGGAAUUAGACAGUUGUUCCAAACACUAGAACACUGGACCCACAAUCUACAGCCAAAGAGCCAGAAACUCCCAGAAAAGGGAGGGGGGCCAAUAAUGCAGAAGAAUGGAAAGCUUGCCAUGGCAAGGACCUGCAGGAAGAGACUUCUUCCCAAAGACUGAGGUGUCCUCACAGCACCACUUUGCUGCUCUCAGACUGGCGACACACGUCAUCUCAGAAAAGACACUAAAGCCAAAUAAGGCAGUCCUGGGAGUAACAGGAAAGUACUUUGGAGCAUGGGCAGUUUUUUCAUCAAUCUUCCUGGUCAAAGAGAAAGGGUUCAAAAGGGCUACUCAAAUCUAGCAAACCAACUGGUGGUUUUGGGACUGGUGCCACAGCCAGGGGUUUGGCUACUUAGACCAUGGGACUUGCUUUGGGAAACCAGAGAAGGGGAAGGGCCCUGCAUGGAUGAACAAGGAGCUCCUGGGCAAAAACACACAAAGGAACUCUACAGAAAGUGGAAGCAAGGCCAGGUAGCUAGGAGAGCAGAGAGAAGUGGGCCUGUGAACUUAUGAAGUUCA